This 97-nucleotide transfer RNA is filed under the name compost metagenome. RNAcentral describes it as "tRNA-Ala". The record is from RNAcentral.
AUCGAUCCUGGGCGGGCUGUGCGCCGUCCUGUGCCUGGCGAGCGCGGCGACGGCGGCGCCGAGGAUCGACCGGCCGUUCAACGACGGCUGGCGGAUG